UACCAGCUCUCCGAGUUGUGGGGACGAUUAUUGGGUCUAAAGCAUCCGUAGCCGGCUGGGCAAGUCCUCUGUUAAACCCAGCGACAAAUCGUUGGCUUGCGGGGGAUACUGCUUGGCUAGGGGGCGGGAGAGGCCGUCGGUAUUCUCGGGGUAGGGGUGAAAUCCUAUAAUCCCGGGAGGACCACCAGUGGCGAAGGCUGUCGGCUAGAACGCGCCCGACGGUGAGGGAUGAAAGCUGGGGGAGCGAACCGGAUUAGAUACCCGGGUAGUCCCAGCUGUAAACGAUGCAGGCUAGGUGUUAGGGCGGCUACGGGCCGCUCUAGUGCCGCAGGGAAGCUGUUAAGCCUGCCACCUGGGGAGUACGGCCGCAAGGCUGAAACUUAAAGGAAUUGGCGGGGGAGCACCACAAGGGGUGAAGCUUGCGGUUUAAUUGGAGUCAACGCCGGAAAUCUCACCGGGGGCGACAGCAGGGUGAAGGCCAGAUUGAAGGUCUUGCCAGACGAGCUGAGAGGAGGUGCAUGGCCGUCGCCAGUUCGUGCCGUGAGGUGUCCUGUUAAGUCAGGCAACGAGCGAGACCCGCAUCCCCCGUUGCCACCAGCCUUGAGCUGAGCACACUGGGGAGACCGCCGUCGAGAAGACGGAGGAAGGAGCGGGCCACGGCAGGUCAGUAUGCCCCGAAUCUCCCGGGCCACACGCGAGCUGCAAUGGCAGGUACAAUGGGUUCCGACCUCGAAAGGGGAAGGCAAUCUCUAAAGCCUGCCGUAGUUGGGAUCGAGGGUUGAAACUCACCCUCGUGAACAUGGAAUCCCUAGUAAUCGCGUGUCACUAGCACGCGGUGAAUACGUCCCUGCUCCU
This 855-nucleotide ribosomal RNA is filed under the name uncultured archaeon. RNAcentral describes it as "SSU rRNA". It matches the Rfam family "Archaeal small subunit ribosomal RNA", at positions 474 to 1337 of the family's 1478-position model. The record is from RNAcentral.